GACGAACGCUGGCGGCGUGCUUAACACAUGCAAGUCGAACGAAGAGCGAUGGAAGCUUGCUUCUAUCAAUCUUAGUGGCGAACGGGUGAGUAACGCGUAAUCAACCUGCCCUUCAGAGGGGGACAACAGUUGGAAACGACUGCUAAUACCGCAUAUGAUCUAACCUCGGCAUCGAGGAUAGAUGAAAGGUGGCCUCUAUUUAUAAGCUAUCACUGAAGGAGGGGAUUGCGUCUGAUUAGCUAGUUGGAGGGGUAACGGCCCACCAAGGCGAUGAUCAGUAGCCGGUCUGAGAGGAUGAACGGCCACAUUGGGACUGAGACACGGCCCAGACUCCUACGGGAGGCAGCAGUGGGGAAUCUUCCGCAAUGGACGAAAGUCUGACGGAGCAACGCCGCGUGAGUGAUGACGGCCUUCGGGUUGUAAAGCUCUGUUAAUCGGGACGAAAG
RNAcentral lists this ribosomal RNA (446 nucleotides) under Veillonella parvula. RNAcentral's name for it is "bacterial SSU rRNA". It matches the Rfam family "Bacterial small subunit ribosomal RNA", at positions 28 to 451 of the family's 1533-position model. Lineage: Bacteria; Bacillati; Bacillota; Negativicutes; Veillonellales; Veillonellaceae. The record is from RNAcentral.